This is a non-coding RNA of Ornithorhynchus anatinus (platypus), 138 nucleotides long. The record is from Rfam. Lineage: Eukaryota; Metazoa; Chordata; Mammalia; Monotremata; Ornithorhynchidae.
CCCCUCUCAGGGUCGCACCUGGAGAGUUUCCAGUCCUCUACCAGUCUUGGUUAAGGGAGGGAGAGUCAGGCAGAGGCCUACCCAGUCCAUUCCUAGCUUGGGUGGUGGCUAACGAGUGGAAGGCAAUCUGCUACAAGU